This 72-nucleotide transfer RNA is filed under the name bacterium. Its description in RNAcentral is "tRNA-Glu". It matches the Rfam family "tRNA". Rfam says of the family: Transfer RNA (tRNA) molecules are approximately 80 nucleotides in length. The record is from RNAcentral.
GCGCCUAUCGUCUAGGGGUUAGGACAUCGCCCUUUCACGGCGGUAACCGGGGUUCAAAUCCCCGUAGGCGUA